GACGAACGCUGGCGGUGUGCUUCACACAUGCAAGUCGAACGAGGUAGCAAUACCUAGUGGCGGACGGGUGAGUAACGCGUGGGAAUCUGCCCAUAGGUGGGGGAUAACUAGCCGAAAGGUUAGCUAAUACCGCAUAUGCCGAAAGGUAAAAGGAGUAAUCCGCCUUUGGAUGAGCCCGCGUCCGAUUAGCUAGUUGGUAGAGUAAAAGCCUACCAAGGCGACGAUCGGUAGCUGGUCUGAGAGGAUGAUCAGCCACAAUGGGACUGAGACACGGCCCAUACUCCUACGGGAGGCAGCAGUGGGGAAUUUUACGCAAUGGGGGAAACCCUGACGUAGCGACACCGCGUGAAUGAAGAAGCCCUUUGGGGUGUAAAAUUCCGUACGGCUGGGAAGAAAAAAUGACGGUACCAGCAAAGGAGCAUCGGCUAACUACGUGCCAGCAGCCGCGGUAAU
Molecule: ribosomal RNA, 453 nt
Filed under: uncultured bacterium
Lineage: Bacteria
Description: bacterial SSU rRNA
Rfam family: Bacterial small subunit ribosomal RNA
Source: RNAcentral